AUUACCAAUAUCAAUGGAUCUCUAGGCUCUAAUUACGAUGAAAAACGCAGCAAAACGCGAAAUCAGAUAUGAUACGCGAAUUACUAUGAAUCAUCGAG
RNAcentral lists this ribosomal RNA (98 nucleotides) under Protostelium mycophagum. Its description in RNAcentral is "partial 5.8S ribosomal RNA". It matches the Rfam family "5.8S ribosomal RNA", at positions 1 to 96 of the family's 154-position model. From Rfam's summary of the family: 5.8S ribosomal RNA (5.8S rRNA) is a component of the large subunit of the eukaryotic ribosome. Lineage: Eukaryota; Evosea; Variosea; Protosteliida; Protosteliaceae. The record is from RNAcentral.